Molecule: long non-coding RNA, 829 nt
Filed under: Lepeophtheirus salmonis (salmon louse)
Lineage: Eukaryota; Metazoa; Arthropoda; Copepoda; Siphonostomatoida; Caligidae
Description: uncharacterized LOC121123345
Source: RNAcentral
UCGUGCGGGUAUUACCGCUUUACAGAUGUUCUACGUAUAUAUGUACUAAAAAGUAAAGAGGGAAGUGGUCUAGAAAUUUUUGGGUGUUCUAUUCAAUACACUCUUCCCUUGAGGCUCCAUCAUCCUCAUCAAUACACGGCUUUUUGUUAAUAUAUGGAGGAGGUUUUUUAGGUGGGACGGUUACUUCCAUGAUAUCCUCCUCAUCGUUAUUAUUGUCACUGGACUCUUUGUGGGGUAGCUCAUCACUAAAUUGACUUUUCUGGCUUUGUUUCUGACUACUAACUAUCGAAAUGAUAUCUGAAAUGAAGUCAAUAGACAAUUCUUUUAAAUCAAUUUGACAGUCAUCAAUAUAUGAAUCAUUCAAGUUACUUUCAGUUCUUUUUUUGUCAUCCUUAAAUCCAAGAUCAUUCAAUUGGUCAAAAAUUUGUUUUCGAUUAUCCUCAAGUAAAUUCAUCAUCAGGAUCUUAGUGAGAAACAAAGGGGACUCAAUGAGUUUUUUAAGAUAUUUAGGAUCUUUUCUGGCAAUCUAAGCUUAGAAUAAGUUCAGAAAAGACUGUUCAGUAACUUGAAUUUUCUUCUUACCUCCAUCAUUAGAAGAAUGAUCGGAUGACUUGAUAGUUGUAUCGUUGGAUUUUGUUUCAUACUGACUCCCAGUAUCGGGGCUGAAUGUUUCUUUCUCCAUAACAUUAAUUAUAUCGACGCCCUGUGUUGGAACUAUAAGCUACUUAUAAUAAUAUUAUUAAAUGCUAAUUAUUUUAAUUUUUGAUUCAAUAUUAUUUAACAAGUAUUUAUUGUAGAUUUCUAUCCAAAUAAAAACAAAUUAAUCUUG